This 253-nucleotide ribosomal RNA is filed under the name uncultured bacterium. RNAcentral's name for it is "partial 16S ribosomal RNA". It matches the Rfam family "Bacterial small subunit ribosomal RNA", at positions 524 to 776 of the family's 1533-position model. The record is from RNAcentral.
UACGUAGGGUGCGAGCGUUAAUCGGAAUUACUGGGCGUAAAGCGUGCGCAGGCGGUUAUGUAAGACAGAUGUGAAAUCCCCGGGCUUAACCUGGGAACUGCGUUUGUGACUGCAUAACUUGAGUGUGGCAGAGGGGGGUAGAAUUCCACGUGUAGCAGUGAAAUGCGUAGAGAUGUGGAGGAAUACCGAUGGCGAAGGCAGCCCCCUGGGUCAACACUGACGCUCAUGCACGAAAGCGUGGGGAGCAAACAGG